RNAcentral lists this ribosomal RNA (397 nucleotides) under uncultured bacterium. RNAcentral describes it as "partial 16S ribosomal RNA". It matches the Rfam family "Bacterial small subunit ribosomal RNA", at positions 523 to 918 of the family's 1533-position model. The record is from RNAcentral.
AUACGUAGGGGGCGAGCGUUGUCCGGAAUGAUUGGGCGUAAAGGGCGCGUAGGCGGCCCGGUAAGUCUGGAGUGAAAGUCCUGUUUUUAAGAUGGGAAUUGCUUUGGAUACUGUCGGGCUUGAGUGCAGGAGAGGUAAGUGGAAUUCCCAGUGUAGCGGUGAAAUGCGUAGAGAUUGGGAGGAACACUAGUGGCGAAGGCGACUUACUGGACUGUAACUGACGCUGAGGCGCGAAAGUAUGGGGAGCAAACAGGAUUAGAUACCCUGGUAGUCCACACGGUAAACGAUGAAUGCUAGGUGUAGGGGGUAUCGACCCCUUCUGUGCCGCAGUCAACACAAUAAGCAUUCCGCCUGGGGAGUACGGCCGCAAGGUUGAAACUCAAAGGAAUUGACGGGG